UACGUAGGUGGCAAGCGUUGUCCGGAUUUACUGGGUGUAAAGGGCGUGUAGGCGGGUACCUAAGUCAGACGUGAAAUACCGGGGCUCAACUCCGGAGCUGCGUUUGAAACUGGGUGUCUUGAGUGCAGGAGAGGAUAGCGGAAUUCCUAGUGUAGCGGUGAAAUGCGUAGAGAUUAGGAGGAACACCAGUGGCGAAGGCGGCUAUCUGGACUGUAACUGACGCUGAGGCGCGAAAGUGUGGGGAGCAAAC
Molecule: ribosomal RNA, 250 nt
Filed under: uncultured prokaryote
Description: partial 16S ribosomal RNA
Rfam family: Bacterial small subunit ribosomal RNA
Source: RNAcentral